CGCAGCCGCGGUAAUUCCAGCUCCAAUAGCGUAUAUUAAAGUUGUUGCAGUUAAAAAGCUCGUAGUUGAAUUUCGGAAUCUGUCCAUCGGUCGAGCUUCACUGUUCGUACUGGUGUGGUGGGUUCUUACCUUCUGAAUAACCAGCAUGCCAUUCACUUGGUGCGUUGGGGAAGCAGGACUAUUACCUUGAAAAAAUUAGAGUGCUCAAAGCAGGCCAGCGCCUGAAUACAUUAGCAUGGAAUAAUAAAAUAGGACGGCUUGGUUCUAUUUUGUUGGUUUCUAGGAUCACCGUAAUGAUUAAUAGGGAUAGUUGGGGGCAUUAGUAUUCAAUUGUCAGAGGUGAAAUUCUUGGAUUUAUUGAAGACUAACUUCUGCGAAAGCAUUUGCCAAGGAUGUUUUCAUUAAUCAAGAACGAAAGUUAGGGGAUCGAAGACGAUCAGAUACCGUCGUAGUCUUAACCAUAAACUAUGCCGACUAGGGAUCGGACGAUGUUAAUUUUUUAAUGACUCGUUCGGCG
RNAcentral lists this ribosomal RNA (517 nucleotides) under uncultured Acaulospora. RNAcentral's name for it is "SSU rRNA". It matches the Rfam family "Eukaryotic small subunit ribosomal RNA", at positions 569 to 1085 of the family's 1831-position model. Lineage: Eukaryota; Fungi; Glomeromycota; Glomeromycetes; Diversisporales; Acaulosporaceae. The record is from RNAcentral.